This 462-nucleotide ribosomal RNA is filed under the name uncultured bacterium. Its description in RNAcentral is "bacterial SSU rRNA". It matches the Rfam family "Bacterial small subunit ribosomal RNA", at positions 335 to 795 of the family's 1533-position model. The record is from RNAcentral.
ACUCCUACGGGAGGCAGCAGUAGGGAAUAUUGCACAAUGGGCGCAAGCCUGAUGCAGCAACGCCGCGUGAGGGACGACGGCCUUCGGGUUGUAAACCUCUUUUAGUAGGGAAGAAGCGAGGUGUUUAUUCACCUCAUGACGGUACCUGCAGAAAAAGCACCGGCUAACUACGUGCCAGCAGCCGCGGUAAUACGUAGGGUGCAAGCGUUGUCCGGAAUUAUUGGGCGUAAAGAGCUCGUAGGCGGUUUGUCGCGUCUGCUGUGAAACCCCGAGGCUCAACCUCGGGCCUGCAGUGGGUACGGGCAGACUAGAGUGCGGUAGGGGAGAUUGGAAUUCCUGGUGUAGCGGUGGAAUGCGCAGAUAUCAGGAGGAACACCGAUGGCGAAGGCAGAUCUCUGGGCCGUAACUGACGCUGAGGAGCGAAAGCAUGGGGAGCAAACAGGAUUAGAUACCCUGGUAGUC